This 301-nucleotide ribosomal RNA is filed under the name uncultured bacterium. RNAcentral's name for it is "partial 16S ribosomal RNA". It matches the Rfam family "Bacterial small subunit ribosomal RNA", at positions 509 to 809 of the family's 1533-position model. The record is from RNAcentral.
CAGCAGCCGCGGGAAAACAGAGGGUGCGAGCGUUAAUCGGAUUUACUGGGCGUAAAGCGUGCGUAGGCGGCUUCUUAAGUCGGAUGUGAAAUCCCUGAGCUUAACUUAGGAAUUGCAUUCGAUACUGGGAAGCUAGAGUAUGGGAGAGGAUGGUAGAAUUCCAGGUGUAGCGGUGAAAUGCGUAGAGAUCUGGAGGAAUACCGAUGGCGAAGGCAGCCAUCUGGCCUAAUACUGACGCUGAGGUACGAAAGCAUGGGGAGCAAACAGGAUUAGAUACCCGGGUAGUCCCUGUCUCUUAUAA